GAGCGUUUCAAAAUACACGAAACGACGUGCGUGCAAUAGCGAGAUACGCAGGAGCUACAAAUAGAAGCACUAAAACUGCAGGGCAGGCUUCUCUGAAGCGGCAGCUCGUUCCCUUCAGGAAACGCGCAGUGGCACCGCAGGCCCUCGCCCAGCUGCCCUCGCCGAGCCGCGCAGCGCUGCGGGCGGAUGGAGCCGGCAGCCCGGCACCCGCUGCGCAACCGCGGGAACAUCGCGUACCGAGGGAGGCACGGCCGUCCAGAUGGCCUCCAGCCUGAACAGCCUCAGGCAACGGGGAUUCAAUUUCAUCGCGCCGCCAGGUUAAAACCAGCGGAGCCCCUCGUUUAGUUAAACCCAACAAGCUCCGCACAAAGCGUCACGAGGGCAGACGCCGCGUCACGCUGACACGGCCCCAAAAACCCCUCCGGGAGCGGGGGGCCGCCGCUUCCCGGCCGCCUCCGUUCUGCGUGCGGCCACGGCUCACCGCCGAACCCCCGAGCGCGGCGGAGCUCGGUCGCCGUCCCGCCUGGGUAAAGCCGGCUCCAGCGGCAGAAGCGGCGCAGCCCGGCAGCCGCCCCACGGCCCCACGCUCCCGCCGCCCCGUCGCGCUCGCUCGCCCCCACCCCGACGCCGCGGCCCCGCCGGGUCCCUCCGACUCACAGCCUUCCGCCGCGGCUUCCGCUGGCUGCUCCCGGCGGACGGGCGGCCGCGCUCUAUAUGCGCUGAGGUGCGGCCCCCGGCCCGGGGAACUCCGAGGGAGCGUCAGGGCCGGGAAGCCGCUGGAAAGCCCCGGCGGCGCGCAGCGCAUGCGCCGCACGGCGACAGGGCGGGGCGUCCGUCCGUCCCGUGCCGGCCGUGGCGGCGGCUCGCGGCCUCCGGGCUCCGUCCCCCCGAGCCUCGUGCGCUUCCUCCUUCGCCCCCCGAGCUGCCCGGACCCCCUCAGAGCCGCCGCGUCCCCGCUGCCCGUUUGCUGAGCGAGGAGCGGUGCCGCACGGCGCUGGGCGGGACGCCGGGUGCUUUCCUGGCGCGUUGCCAAGUUACGGGCUGCUGUGGGAGAGGCCGAGUGGUGACCGCCUGCGCUUCGGUCGCUGAAAGUCACGGGGGAACAACGGGAGGAAGGCAAAACCGAGUGCGAAUUUCCACCAGCGUGUGUCAGCGCGUACAGAAAGCUGAAGAACUUCCGCAGCGGGUGCUGCCAGAUCGUGGUAUGACAUUUCCUCUGAAGAAACAGCAAGCGGAAGGAAGACAAUUAGAUUCAGCAAGAGAAAAGAACAUGAAAAAUGCCAAAAGAGAUAACUACACUAAAGUGAUCAAAUUUAAGUGGGAGAGGGAACCGUAUAUACCAUAA
RNAcentral lists this long non-coding RNA (1345 nucleotides) under Phasianus colchicus (ring-necked pheasant). Its description in RNAcentral is "lncRNA (ENSPCLG00000007258.1)". The record is from RNAcentral. Lineage: Eukaryota; Metazoa; Chordata; Aves; Galliformes; Phasianidae.